UACGGAGGAUGCAAGCGUUAUCCGGAAUGAUUGGGCGUAAAGCGUCCGCAGGUGGCUAUGUAAGUCUGCUGUUAAAGCGUGAGGCUCAACCUCAUAAGAGCAGUGGAAACUACAUGGCUAGAGUGCGUUCGGGGCAGAGGGAAUUCCUGGUGUAGCGGUGAAAUGCGUAGAUAUCAGGAAGAACACCGGUGGCGAAAGCGCUCUGCUGGGCCGCAACUGACACUGAGGGACGAAAGCUAGGGGAGCGAAUGGG
RNAcentral lists this ribosomal RNA (253 nucleotides) under uncultured bacterium. RNAcentral's name for it is "partial 16S ribosomal RNA". It matches the Rfam family "Bacterial small subunit ribosomal RNA", at positions 524 to 776 of the family's 1533-position model. The record is from RNAcentral.